CCUACGGGUGGCAGCAGUGGGGGAUAUUGCACAAUGGGGGAAACCCUGAUGCAGCAACGCCGCGUGAGUGAAGAAGUAUUUCGGUAUGUAAAGCUCUAUCAGCAGGGAAGAGAAUGACGGUACCUGACUAAGAAGCCCCGGCUAACUACGUGCCAGCAGCCGCGGUAAUACGUAGGGGGCGAGCGUUAUCCGGAUUUACUGGGUGUAAAGGGAGCGUAGACGGCUGGUCAAGUCUGAAGUGAAAGCCCGGGGCUUAACCCCGGAACGGCUUUGGAAACUGAGCAGCUAGAGUGCUGGAGAGGUAAGCGGAAUUCCUAGUGUAGCGGUGAAAUGCGUAGAUAUUAGGAGGAACAUCAGUGGCGAAGGCGACUAUCUGGCACAUAACUGACGCUGAGGAGCGAAAGCGUGGGUAGCAAACAGGAUUAGAUACCCUAGUAGUC
This 440-nucleotide ribosomal RNA is filed under the name uncultured bacterium. RNAcentral describes it as "partial 16S ribosomal RNA". It matches the Rfam family "Bacterial small subunit ribosomal RNA", at positions 338 to 795 of the family's 1533-position model. The record is from RNAcentral.